Molecule: ribosomal RNA, 253 nt
Filed under: uncultured bacterium
Lineage: Bacteria
Description: partial 16S ribosomal RNA
Rfam family: Bacterial small subunit ribosomal RNA
Source: RNAcentral
UACGAAGGGUGCAAGCGUUACUCGGAAUUACUGGGCGUAAAGCGCGCGUAGGUGGUUCGUUAAGUCUGAUGUGAAAGCCCUGGGCUCAACCUGGGAAUGGCAUUGGAAACUGGCGACCUAGAGUGCGGUAGAGGGUAGUGGAAUUCCCGGUGUAGCAGUGAAAUGCGUAGAGAUCGGGAGGAACAUCCGUGGCGAAGGCGACUACCUGGACCAGCACUGACACUGAGGCACGAAAGCGUGGGGAGCAAACAGG